Molecule: ribosomal RNA, 319 nt
Filed under: Arkys cornutus
Lineage: Eukaryota; Metazoa; Arthropoda; Arachnida; Araneae; Araneidae
Description: partial 12S ribosomal RNA
Source: RNAcentral
UGGUAGUAAAAAAAAUUAAAACCUAUAUGAAUAUAUGGCGGCAUUUAAUCUUACUAGAGGAAUAUGUUUAAUAAUCGAAUUUACACGUUAAAUUUUACUUGAAAUCUAAAUCUUAUAUACCUCCGUCUAAAGAAUAAAUUUUAAAAUAUUAUUCUCAACAAUAUUAUAAAAAGUCAGGUAAAGGUGUAGACCACAUUCAAGAAAAAAAUGUAUUACAUUAAAAAAGAUUUAAGGAAAAAGUAAAAAAUUACUUUCACAAAAAGGAUUUAAAUGCAAUAAAUACAAUAAUAUUUAAUUAUGAAUAAGAAAAAAAAUGUGC